This 924-nucleotide ribosomal RNA is filed under the name Candidatus Phytoplasma asteris-related phytoplasma. RNAcentral's name for it is "bacterial SSU rRNA". It matches the Rfam family "Bacterial small subunit ribosomal RNA", at positions 211 to 1144 of the family's 1533-position model. Lineage: Bacteria; Bacillati; Mycoplasmatota; Mollicutes; Acholeplasmatales; Acholeplasmataceae. The record is from RNAcentral.
AGGUAUGCUUAGGGAGGAGCUUGCGUCACAUUAGUUAGUUGGUGGGGUAAAGGCCUACCAAGACUAUGAUGUGUAGCCGGGCUGAGAGGUUGAACGGCCACAUUGGGACUGAGACACGGCCCAAACUCCUACGGGAGGCAGCAGUAGGGAAUUUUCGGCAAUGGAGGAAACUCUGACCGAGCAACGCCGCGUGAACGAUGAAGUAUUUCGGUACGUAAAGUUCUUUUAUUAGGGAAGAAUAAAUGAUGGAAAAAUCAUUCUGACGGUACCUAAUGAAUAAGCCCCGGCUAACUAUGUGCCAGCAGCCGCGGUAAUACAUAGGGGGCAAGCGUUAUCCGGAAUUAUUGGGCGUAAAGGGUGCGUAGGCUGUUAAAUAAGUUUAUGGUCUAAGUGCAAUGCUCAACAUUGUGAUGCUAUAAAAACUGUUUAGCUAGAGUAAGAUAGAGGCAAGUGGAAUUCCAUGUGUAGUGGUAAAAUGCGUAAAUAUAUGGAGGAACACCAGUAGCGAAGGCGGCUUGCUGGGUCUUUACUGACGCUGAGGCACGAAAGCGUGGGGAGCAAACAGGAUUAGAUACCCUGGUAGUCCACGCCGUAAACGAUGAGUACUAAACGUUGGGUAAAACCAGUGUUGAAGUUAACACAUUAAGUACUCCGCCUGAGUAGUACGUACGCAAGUAUGAAACUUAAAGGAAUUGACGGGACUCCGCACAAGCGGUGGAUCAUGUUGUUUAAUUCGAAGGUACCCGAAAAACCUCACCAGGUCUUGACAUGCUUCUGCAAAGCUGUAGAAACACAGUGGANGUUAUCAGUUGCACAGGUGGUGCAUGGUUGUCGUCAGCUCGUGUCGUGAGAUGUUGGGUUAAGUCCCGCAACGAGCGCAACCCUUAUUGUUAGUUGCCAACACGUAAUGGUGGGGACUUUAGC